CCUACGGGAGGCAGCAGUGAGGAAUAUUGGUCAAUGGUCGGGAGACUGAACCAGCCAAGCCGCGUGAGGGAUGAAGGUACAGAGUAUCGUAAACCUAUUUUGUCAGGGAACAAAGGCGGGGACGUGUCCCCGGAUGAGUGUACCUGAAGAAAAAGCAUCGGCUAACUCUGUGCCAGCAGCCGCGGUAAUACGGAGGAUGCGAGCGUUAUCCGGAUUUAUUGGGUUUAAAGGGUGCGCAGGCGGUCUGUUAAGUCAGCGGUAAAAGCCCGGGGCUCAACCCCGGCCCGCCGUUGAAACUGGCAGUCUCGAGUUGGAGAGAAGUAUGCGGAAUGCGCGGUGUAGCGGUGAAAUGCAUAGAUAGCGCGCAGAACUCCGAUUGCGAAGGCAGCAUGCCGGCUCCACACUGACGCUGAGGCACGAAAGCGUGGGUAUCGAACAGGAUUAGAUACCCUGGUAGUC
This 459-nucleotide ribosomal RNA is filed under the name uncultured bacterium. RNAcentral's name for it is "partial 16S ribosomal RNA". It matches the Rfam family "Bacterial small subunit ribosomal RNA", at positions 338 to 795 of the family's 1533-position model. The record is from RNAcentral.